Molecule: ribosomal RNA, 399 nt
Filed under: uncultured Streptococcus sp.
Lineage: Bacteria; Bacillati; Bacillota; Bacilli; Lactobacillales; Streptococcaceae
Description: bacterial SSU rRNA
Rfam family: Bacterial small subunit ribosomal RNA
Source: RNAcentral
CUUGACAUCCCGAUGCUAUUUCUAGAGAUAGAAGUUACUUGGUACAUCGGUGACAGGUGGUGCAUGGUUGUCGUCAGCUCGUGUCGUGAGAUGUUGGGUUAAGUCCCGCAACGAGCGCAACCCCUAUUGUUAGUUGCCAUCAUUCAGUUGGGCACUCUAGCGAGACUGCCGGUAAUAAACCGGAGGAAGGUGGGGAUGACGUCAAAUCAUCAUGCCCCUUAUGACCUGGGCUACACACGUGCUACAAUGGUUGGUACAACGAGUUGCGAGUCGGUGACGGCGAGCUAAUCUCUUAAAGCCAAUCUCAGUUCGGAUUGUAGGCUGCAACUCGCCUACAUGAAGUCGGAAUCGCUAGUAAUCGCGGAUCAGCACGCCGCGGUGAAUACGUUCCCGGGCCUU